RNAcentral lists this long non-coding RNA (911 nucleotides) under Capsicum annuum. RNAcentral's name for it is "long non-coding RNA (CANN_LNC007372)". The record is from RNAcentral. Lineage: Eukaryota; Viridiplantae; Streptophyta; Magnoliopsida; Solanales; Solanaceae.
AAUGUAGUCUUUAAAGAGUCUUUGUUUAUGGGGAGAUUUCUCCCAAUAAGUUUUAGGAUUUUCAAUUUUAUUUUUAAUAUGUAGGCCGUUUGGCCAAACCAUAUCCAAUAAUAUAUUUUUAGUUUAAUUUUUCAUAUGUCGUCUGAUUUAUCGUCUUAUGGUUUGCAAACUAAAAGCUUCCGCAUGAUGCUCUCUUGAUUUCGAACUAAACAAGUGGUAUCAGAGCCUACGGUUCAAAGAUUCAGUGGUUCGAUAAAACGUGGUUGAAGAGAAGUUAAAGGCGGUUCAAAUCAAUUUGCAUCCAAUUUGAUGAUAAUGAGGAUUUUUGUCCAAAAACUACAUGUGGAGACGAUUGUCAAUCAUAUUUUCAACAAUCCUACCGUCAUAUAUUUGAAAAUAAAGCUCACUUUUAAUCCUGCAAAAGAGCUCCAAUAUUUUUAACCCAAAAAGGGCUAAUAUAUUUUUUAACCCCAAAAGCUCCAUUUUUAUACAUGCCAAACAACAGUGGUAUAUGAAGAAUAUAUAUGAAGAACGAAGAUCAUGCACAAGAGGAAGGGGGAUCAAGAAUAUUUUGAAGAAAAUCAAGCCAAAAAGGAGAAAUUUGUUAGGGUUUUUGUCCUGAUUUUCUUACUAUAUUUAAGUUUUAUUUUUUUUUUAGAAAGAAAAUUAAAAGUUACUAUAAUUACUUUUACUUUUCCUGAAAAAAAAAUAUAAUUCUUUUUCAUAUUUCGCUAACCUCUUUCUUGAAGGAAAGGUUUUGAACAUCUGUAAAUACAAUAGCCCUUCUCAUACCAUAACACAAUAGCAUCCAUAAUGUAGUCUUUAAAGAGUUUUUGUUUAGGGGGAGAUUUCUCCCAAUAAGUUUUAGGAUUUUCAAUUUUAUUUUUAAUAUGUAAGCUGUUUGACCAAAC